RNAcentral lists this ribosomal RNA (460 nucleotides) under uncultured bacterium. Its description in RNAcentral is "partial 16S ribosomal RNA". It matches the Rfam family "Bacterial small subunit ribosomal RNA", at positions 338 to 795 of the family's 1533-position model. The record is from RNAcentral.
CCUACGGGUGGCUGCAGUGAGGAAUAUUGGUCAAUGGACGAGAGUCUGAACCAGCCAAGUAGCGUGAAGGAUGACUGCCCUAUGGGUUGUAAACUUCUUUUAUAUGGGAAUAAAACGUUCCACGUGUGGGAUUUUGUAUGUACCAUAUGAAUAAGGAUCGGCUAACUCCGUGCCAGCAGCCGCGGUAAUACGGAGGAUCCGAGAGUUAUCCGGAUUUAUUGGGGUUAAAGGGAGCGUAGGUGGAUUGGUAAGUCAGUUGUGAAAGUUUGAGGCUCAACCGUAAAAUUGCAGUUGAAACUGGCAGUCUUGAGUACAGUAGAGGUGGGCGGAAUUCGUGGUGUAGCGGUGAAAUGCUUAGAUAUCACGAAGAACUCCGAUUGCGAAGGCAGUUCACUGGACUGCAACUGACACUGAGGCUCGAAAGUGUGGGUAUCAAACAGGAUUAGAUACCCGGGUAGUC